RNAcentral lists this unclassified non-coding RNA (253 nucleotides) under Bacilli bacterium. RNAcentral's name for it is "contains 16S-23S intergenic spacer region". It matches the Rfam family "Bacterial small subunit ribosomal RNA", at positions 524 to 776 of the family's 1533-position model. The record is from RNAcentral. Lineage: Bacteria; Bacillati; Bacillota; Bacilli.
UACGUAGGGGGCAAGCGUUGUCCGGAAUUAUUGGGCGUAAAGGGCGCGCAGGCGGCGCAAUCAGUCUGAUGUGAAAGUCCCAUGCUCAACGUGGGGAUGGCAUUGGAAACUGUUGUGCUUGAGUGCAGGAGAGGGGAGUGGAAUUCCACGUGUAGCGGUGAAAUGCGUAGAGAUGUGGAGGAACACCAGUGGCGAAGGCGACUCCCUGGCCUGUAACUGACGCUGAGGCGCGACAGCGUGGGUAGCGAACAGG